ACCUAGCUGAACAAUUCUAAAUAAGACGGAACGCGCGUCAUAGAU
Schistosoma margrebowiei is the source of this 45-nucleotide non-coding RNA. NCBI's taxonomy places the organism in Eukaryota, Metazoa, Platyhelminthes, Trematoda, Strigeidida, Schistosomatidae. The record is from Rfam.